RNAcentral lists this ribosomal RNA (460 nucleotides) under uncultured bacterium. RNAcentral describes it as "partial 16S ribosomal RNA". It matches the Rfam family "Bacterial small subunit ribosomal RNA", at positions 338 to 795 of the family's 1533-position model. The record is from RNAcentral.
CCUACGGGUGGCAGCAGUGAGGAAUAUUGGUCAAUGGACGAAAGUCUGAACCAGCCAAGUAGCGUGAAGGAUGACUGCCCUAUGGGUUGUAACCUUCUUUUAUAUGGGAAUAAAACAGGGUAUGCAUACCCUCUUGUAUGUACCAUAUGAAUAAGGAUCGGCUAACUCCGUGCCAGCAUCCGCGGUAAUACGGAGGUUUCGAGCGUUAUCCGGGUUUAUUGGGUUUAAAGGGAGCGUAGCUGGGUUGUCAAGUCAGUUGUGAAAGUUUGCGGCUCAACCGUAAAAUUGCAGUUGAAACUGGCAGUCUUGAGUACAGGAGAGGUAGACGGAAUUCGUGGUGUAGCGGUGAAAUGCUUAGAUAUCACGAAGAACACCGGUUGCGAAGGCAGCUCACUGGACUGCAACUGACACUGAUGCUCGAAAGUGUGGGUAGCAAACAGGAUUAGAUACCCCAGUAGUC